AAGUCGUAACAAGGUCUCCGUUGGUGAACCAGCGGAGGGAUCAUUACCGAGUUUACAACUCCCAAACCCCUGUGAACAUACCAAUUGUUGCCUCGGUGGAUCAGCCCGCUCCCGGUAAAACGGGACGGCCCGCCAGAGGACCCCUAAACUCUGUUUCUAUAUGUAACUUCUGAGUAAAACCAUAAAUAAAUCAAAACUUUCAACAACGGAUCUCUUGGUUCUG
Molecule: unclassified non-coding RNA, 223 nt
Filed under: Fusarium denticulatum
Lineage: Eukaryota; Fungi; Ascomycota; Sordariomycetes; Hypocreales; Nectriaceae
Description: partial internal transcribed spacer region
Rfam family: Eukaryotic small subunit ribosomal RNA (bases 1-46)
Source: RNAcentral